AGGACGAACGCUGGCGGCGUGCUUAACACAUGCAAGUCGAACGGUGAAGCCCUUCGGGGUGGAUCAGUGGCGAACGGGUGAGUAACACGUGAGCAAUCUGCCCUUGACUCUGGGAUAACUUCGGGAAACCGGAGCUAAUACCGGAUACGACGCACGGAGGCAUCUCCUGUGUGUGGAAAGAUUUAUCGGUCAGGGAUGAGCUCGCGGCCUAUCAGCUAGUUGGUGAGGUAAUGGCUCACCAAGGCGACGACGGGUAGCCGGCCUGAGAGGGCGAUCGGCCACACUGGGACUGAGACACGGCCCAGACUCCUACGGGAGGCAGCAGUGGGGAAUAGUUGCGCAAUGGGCGGAAGCCUGACGCAGCGACGCCGCGUGAGGGAUGA
Molecule: ribosomal RNA, 383 nt
Filed under: uncultured soil bacterium
Lineage: Bacteria
Description: bacterial SSU rRNA
Rfam family: Bacterial small subunit ribosomal RNA
Source: RNAcentral